GAUGAACGCUGGCGGCAUGCCUUACACAUGCAAGUCGAACGGUAACAGGUCUUCGGAUGCUGACGAGUGGCGAACGGGUGAGUAAUACAUCGGAACGUGCCUAGUAGUGGGGGAUAACUACUCGAAAGAGUGGCUAAUACCGCAUGAGAUCUACGGAUGAGAGCAGGGGAUCGCAAGACCUUGUGCUACUAGAGCGGCCGAUGGCAGAUUAGGUAGUUGGUGGGAUAAAAGCUUACCAAGCCGACGAUCUGUAGCUGGUCUGAGAGGACGAUCAGCCAAACUGGGACUGAGACACGGCCCAGACUCCUACGGGAGGCAGCAGUGGGGAAUUUUGGACAAUGGGCGAAAGCCUGAUCCAGCAAUGCCGCGUGCAGGAUGAAGGCCUUCGGGUUGUAAACUGCUUUUGUACGGAACGAAAAGCCCCGGGUUAAUACCCUGGGGUCAUGACGGUACCGUAAGAAUAAGCACCGGCUAACUACGUGCCAGCCGCCGCUGUAA
RNAcentral lists this ribosomal RNA (498 nucleotides) under uncultured bacterium. RNAcentral describes it as "partial 16S ribosomal RNA". It matches the Rfam family "Bacterial small subunit ribosomal RNA", at positions 28 to 523 of the family's 1533-position model. The record is from RNAcentral.